This 468-nucleotide ribosomal RNA is filed under the name uncultured bacterium. RNAcentral describes it as "partial 16S ribosomal RNA". It matches the Rfam family "Bacterial small subunit ribosomal RNA", at positions 28 to 507 of the family's 1533-position model. The record is from RNAcentral.
GACGAACGCUGGCGGCGUGCUUAACACAUGCAAGUCGAACGGAAAGGCCCUGCUUUUGUGGGGUGCUCGAGUGGCGAACGGGUGUGUCACACGUGAGUAACCUGCCCUUGACUUUGGGAUAACUUCAGGAAACUGGGGCUAAUACCGGAUAGGAGUUCCUGCUGCAUGGUGGGGGUUGGAAAGUUUCGGCGGGUGGGGGUGGAGUCGCGGCUUAUCAGCUUGUUGGUGGGGUAGUGGCUUACCAAGGCUUUGAGGGGUAGCCGGCCUGAGAGGGUGUGCGGCCACAUUAGGCCUGUGAGACGGCGCAGACUCCUACACGAGGCAGCAGUGGGGAAUAUUGCAGAAUGGGCGGGAGCCUGAUGCAGAGACGCCCCGUGCGGGAGGACGGCCUUCUGGGUGUAUACCGCGUUCGCAUGUGACGAGGAGUGAGUGACGGUAAUGGGUAAAGAAGCACCGGCUAACUACGUG